CAAACGAGGGGCUGGCAGCAUACUUCUGUCCCUCAGGGACCCGAGCGCGGGGCAGACAGGUCUCAUUUUGGAUCUUUUCUUACAGAGCUGAGGUCGUGUUUACUAGAUGAAAACUCGUUACCAUGUUUGUAGUCUUCUAAUUCUAUUUACUCGGGUGUCUGGCAUAUGAAUACCGUUGUAUCCCCAAGUUCGACUUUGAGAUGGAACUCUUGGGAAAACAUGCAUCUGGGAUAAAUCUGGGAUAGAACUGGAGUCUGUCAGAUUUGGAACCGGACGUUCCUUGCAGCGCCAGAAGAACUCGACUCUACCCUAGAUGUAACCGGAAUACUGUACCGAAAUCAAUACUGAAACUCUACAAGAACGGGGGAAAGAUCAGCUGUUCAGUGAAGUCGCCGAAAGACUGGGACACGAGAAGACAAGAACACCGAAACAGCACCUCGAAAUACUUCCUGGCUCAGCGGAGAUGUGCGACCUUUACGACGCUCAAAAAUAGAGACGGGGCAGAGACAGGCAUCUGUAAAGAGCUUGACCGUCUGUUGGAAGAGGAGCUCGAAAGUGUAGAGAUCGCCGUCUAAAGAUCAACUGUGGGGGAGAGGAAGCUUGUAGGUGGAAAUAAAGGCCGAGGACGCUCUCGUGGUGCCCGUGCAGGCGGAAGAUGACGUGGUCGAGUAGCUAGAUUGAGACCUCACCGCUCUGCUGUUUAUUUCUCAUUUCUUUAAAUAUUAGCCAAAAUGUAUUGAAUGGUCUUUGUUUUCUGUUAUUCCAUAGCCAAAUGUUCGUGCUUUUGUGUUUCAUAGUAUCAGUGCCAUCAAACAUACCAUGAUGCUUUUCUUGUAGAUAGUAGCAUAACGGAUACGUGCAGAAUUGAAAAAAAAGUUUAAAUGAAGUACCUUUUGGAUUGUAAAUAUCGAUAGACCUGUGCCUGGUUUGGAUAUCAUAUACUGUAAGUGAAACUGUCUAUAUCAUCUCAAAGGGAAAAGGAAACCGUUAAAUGAAUUUAUCAUAUUUAUUUUCGUUUAAGCUAUGUUUUGGGCAGAGAUCUAGUCACGUGUAACCAUGGAAGAGUAACUAUGGCUUUAUCAUGUUCAUUUAUUUAUAUUCAUAGGAGCGUCUGGAAUAUAUGACAUGUAAUAUAGAACUCUUCUUGCAUACUUAUUGUCGAUGACCUGAGUGUAAUGGACUAUAAUACACUGAUCAAAAGUUCA
This is a long non-coding RNA of Branchiostoma floridae (Florida lancelet), 1205 nucleotides long. RefSeq lists it as uncharacterized. The transcript is spliced from 3 exons. The record is from RefSeq and is a predicted model, not a curated record. Lineage: Eukaryota; Metazoa; Chordata; Leptocardii; Amphioxiformes; Branchiostomatidae.